AAGCCAUACAUCGGCCAUUUUCUAACUAAUUCCUUGAAGUGCUCCCAUGCUUCGUAUAAUGUAUCAUCUUUAGAUUGCCUGAACAAUGUGAUGUCAUUCCUCAGCUU
Non-coding RNA from Gossypium raimondii (Peruvian cotton), 107 nucleotides. NCBI's taxonomy places the organism in Eukaryota, Viridiplantae, Streptophyta, Magnoliopsida, Malvales, Malvaceae. The record is from Rfam.